This 182-nucleotide ribosomal RNA is filed under the name uncultured bacterium. Its description in RNAcentral is "partial 16S ribosomal RNA". It matches the Rfam family "Bacterial small subunit ribosomal RNA", at positions 347 to 521 of the family's 1533-position model. The record is from RNAcentral.
GGCAGCAGUGGGGAACUUUGGACAAUGGGCGAAAGCCUGAUCCAGCAAUGCCGCGUGAGUGAAGAAGGCCUUCGGGUUGUAAAGCUCUUUUGUCAGGGAAGAAACGGUGAAGGCUAAUAUCCUUUGCUAAUGACGGUACCGUAAGAAUAAGCACCGGCUAACUACUUGGCANCAGCCGCGGU